This 449-nucleotide ribosomal RNA is filed under the name uncultured bacterium. RNAcentral's name for it is "SSU rRNA". It matches the Rfam family "Bacterial small subunit ribosomal RNA", at positions 26 to 518 of the family's 1533-position model. The record is from RNAcentral.
AGAACGAACGCUGGCGGCAGGCUUAACACAUGCAAGUCGAACGCGUGUAGCAAUACACGAGUGGCGCACGGGUGAGUAACGCGUGGAUAUCUGCCUUUUGGUUCGGAAUAACCCCGGGAAACUGGGGCUAAUACCGGAUGGUUCCUACGGGAUAAAGAUUUAUCGCCAAAAGAUGAGUCCGCGUCCGAUUAGCUAGUUGGUGGGGUAAUGGCCUACCAAGGCGACGAUCGGUAGCUGGUCUGAGAGGACGAUCAGCCACACUGGGACUGAGACACGGCCCAGACUCCCACGGGAGGCAGCAGUGGGGGAAUAUUGGACAAUGGGGGCAACCCUGAUCCAGCCAUGCCGCGUGAGUGAUGAAGGCCUUCGGGUUGUAAAGCUCUUUUGGCGGGGACGAUGAUGACGGUACCCGCAGAAUAAGCCCCGGCUAACUUCGUGCCAGCAGCCGC